This 321-nucleotide ribosomal RNA is filed under the name uncultured eukaryote. Its description in RNAcentral is "partial 18S ribosomal RNA". It matches the Rfam family "Eukaryotic small subunit ribosomal RNA", at positions 1470 to 1796 of the family's 1831-position model. The record is from RNAcentral.
CCCUUAGAUGUUCUGGGCCGCACGCGCGCUACACUGAUGAACGCAACGAGACCACCUGUACCGAAAGGCAUGGGUAAACUUGUGAAAGUUCAUCGUGAUGGGGAUAGAUUAUUGCAAUUAUUAAUCUUCAACGAGGAAUUCCUAGCAAGCGCGAGUCAUCAGCUCGCGUUGAUUACGUCCCUGCCCUUUGUACACACCGCCCGUCGCUCCUACCGAUUGAAUGGUCCGGUGAAAUCUUCGGAUUGCUGGAUAGGACUUCAUUGACCUAUCUGCGAGAAGUUGCUUGAACCUUAUCAUUUAGAGGAAGGAGAAGUCGUAACA